This 497-nucleotide ribosomal RNA is filed under the name uncultured bacterium. RNAcentral's name for it is "partial 16S ribosomal RNA". It matches the Rfam family "Bacterial small subunit ribosomal RNA", at positions 28 to 507 of the family's 1533-position model. The record is from RNAcentral.
GAUGAACGCUGGCGGCGUGCCUAGUACAUGCAAGUCGAGCGAACAGAUGAGGAGCUUGCUCCUCUGACGUUAGCGGCGGACGGGUGAGUAACACGUGGAUAACCUACCUAUAAGACUGGGAUAACUUCGGGAAACCGGAGCUAAUACCGGAUAAUAUAUUGAACCGCAUGGUUCAAUAGUGAAAGACGGUUUUGCUGUCACUUAUAGAUGGAUCCGCGCCGCAUCAGCUAGUUGGUAAGGUAACGGCUUACCAAGGCAACGAUGCGUAGCCGACCUGAGAGGGUGAUCGGCCACACUGGAACUGAGACACGGUCCAGACUCCUACGGGAGGCAGCAGUAGGGAAUCUUCCGCAAUGGGCGAAAGCCUGACGGAGCAACGCCGCGUGAGUGAUGAAGGUCUUCGGAUCGUAAAACUCUGUUAUUAGGGAAGAACAAAUGUGUAAGUAACUAUGCACGUCUUGACGGUACCUAAUCAGAAAGCCACGGCUAACUACGUG